Molecule: transfer RNA, 66 nt
Filed under: Marmota monax (woodchuck)
Lineage: Eukaryota; Metazoa; Chordata; Mammalia; Rodentia; Sciuridae
Description: tRNA.Ala
Source: RNAcentral
GGUUGUAGCUCAGUUGGUAGGGCGCUUGCCUGGCAUGUAAGCCCCUGUGUUCAAUCCCCAGCACCA